AAUAAUAAUAAUAAUAAUAAUAAUAAUAAUUGAAAAUUAGCAGGAAGCUAGGGGAGCAAAUGGUAUCAGAUACCCAGUAGUUCUAGCCGUAAAUGGUGGAUACUAGGCGUUGUGCAUAUAGACCUGUGCAGUACUGCAUCUAACACAUUAAAUAUUCCGUCUGGGGUGUACGUUCGCAAGAAUGAAACUCAAAGAAAUUGACGGGGAACAAUAGUGUA
This 218-nucleotide non-coding RNA is filed under the name Nicotiana sylvestris (wood tobacco). RNAcentral describes it as "Bacterial small subunit ribosomal RNA". It matches the Rfam family "Bacterial small subunit ribosomal RNA", at positions 708 to 936 of the family's 1533-position model. RNAcentral also lists the same sequence under 1 other name. The record is from Rfam by way of RNAcentral. Lineage: Eukaryota; Viridiplantae; Streptophyta; Magnoliopsida; Solanales; Solanaceae.